CCAUUUAUAAAUUAUAACUUCCAGUUAUUUGAAAAUAUUAUAGAAUUUUCAAAAAAAAUUAGAAUUAUUGAAAAGAAUAUUAACAUCACUUUUAACCGAUUGUUGCUAAUGUGGAGUCAGAAAAAAAAAUUACGGGAUAGUUACAGAUAAAUAAAAAUUUGAUUUACAUUCAGUUUUCAACAAAAAGAAUGCUUGAAACAAAAUUAACAUACUGAGACUAAAUGGGAGAUCUUAAAAAUUUAGUCAAUCAAUUCAAUAAUUUAAGAAACCACUGUAAUUUUAGAUAAAAAUUU
RNAcentral lists this long non-coding RNA (293 nucleotides) under Brassica rapa (field mustard). RNAcentral's name for it is "long non-coding RNA (BRAP_LNC007458)". Lineage: Eukaryota; Viridiplantae; Streptophyta; Magnoliopsida; Brassicales; Brassicaceae. The record is from RNAcentral.